GCUGGGCACAGUGGCAUAUACCUAUAAUCCCAGUGGCCUGGAGGCUGAGUCAGGGGGAUCAUGAAUUCAAAGCCAGCCUCAGCAACUGCGCGAGGUGCUUAGCAACUCAGUGAGACCCUGUCUCUA
This 126-nucleotide small RNA is filed under the name Marmota monax (woodchuck). Lineage: Eukaryota; Metazoa; Chordata; Mammalia; Rodentia; Sciuridae. The record is from RNAcentral.